RNAcentral lists this ribosomal RNA (458 nucleotides) under uncultured organism. Its description in RNAcentral is "bacterial SSU rRNA". It matches the Rfam family "Bacterial small subunit ribosomal RNA", at positions 346 to 794 of the family's 1533-position model. The record is from RNAcentral.
GCGCAGCAGGCGAGAAUUUUCUCAAUGGGGGCGAACCCUGAAGGAGCGACGCCGCGUGGAGGAUGAAGGCUUUCGGGUUGGUAAACUACCUGUCAUUGUAGAACAAGUGUUAGCAAGUAACUACUGCUAGCUUGAUAGUAUCAGAAGAGGAAGGGACGGCUAACUCUGUGCCAGCAGCCGCGGUAAUACAGAGGUCCCAAGCGUUGUUCGGAUUCAUUGGGCGUAAAGGGUGCGUAGGUGGCGCGCUAAGUCAGGUGUGAAAUCUCGGGGCGUUAACUCCGAAACUGCAUUUGAUACUGGCGUGCUUGAGGACUGGAGAGGAGACUGGAAUUCAUGGUGUAGCAGUGAAAUGCGUAGAGAUCAUGAGGAAGACCAGUGGCGAAGGCGGGUCUCUGGACAGUUCCUGACACUGAGGCACGAAGGCCAGGGGAGCAAACGGGAUUAGAUACCCGGGUAGU